AGAGUUUGAUCAUGGCUCAGAAUCAACGCUGGCGGCGUGCCUCAGACAUGCAAGUCGAACGCGAAAGUCUCCUUCGGGGGGCAAGUAGAGUGGCGCACGGGUGAGUAACACGUAGGUAAUCUACCUUCGGAUGGGGAAUAACAAUCGGAAACGAUUGCUAAUACCGCAUAAUGCAGCGGCACCUAAUGGUGACAGUUGUUAAAGCGGGGGAUCGAAAGACCUCGCGUCUGAAGAGGAGCCUGCGGCGGAUUAGCUAGUUGGUAAGGUAAUGGCUUACCAAGGCGACGAUCCGUAACCGGCCUGAGAGGGCGGUCGGUCACACUGACACUGACAUACGGGUCAGACUCCUACGGGAGGCAGCAGUCGGGAAUUUUGGGCAAUGGGCGAAAGCCUGACCCAGCAACGCCGCGUGAAGGAUGAAAUCCCUCGGGAUGUAAACUUCGCAAGAACGGGAAGAAUAAGUAGGGGAUAAUACCCCCUAUGAUGACGGUACCGUUUGUAAGCUCCGGCUAACUCCGUGCCAGCAGCCGCGGUAAUUC
This 539-nucleotide ribosomal RNA is filed under the name uncultured bacterium. RNAcentral's name for it is "bacterial SSU rRNA". It matches the Rfam family "Bacterial small subunit ribosomal RNA", at positions 8 to 526 of the family's 1533-position model. The record is from RNAcentral.